Molecule: ribosomal RNA, 497 nt
Filed under: uncultured bacterium
Lineage: Bacteria
Description: partial 16S ribosomal RNA
Rfam family: Bacterial small subunit ribosomal RNA
Source: RNAcentral
GAUGAACGCUGGCGGCGUGCCUAAUACAUGCAAGUCGAGCGAACGGACGAGAAGCUUGCUUCUCUUAUGUUAGCGGCGGACGGGUGAGUAACACGUGGAUAACCUACCUAUAAGACUGGGAUAACUUCGGGAAACCGUAGCUAAUACCGGAUAAUAUUUUGAACCGCAUGGUUCAAAAGUGAAAGACGGUCUUGCUGUCACUUAUAGAUGGAUCCGCGCUGCAUUAGCUAGUUGGUAAGGUAACGGCUUACCAAGGCAACGAUGCAUAGCCGACCUGAGAGGGUGAUCGGCCAUACUGGAACUGAGACACGGUCCAGACUCCUACGGGAGGCAGCAGUAGGGAAUCUUCGGCAAUGGGCGAAAGCCUGACGGAGCAACGCCGCGUGAGUGAUGAAGGUCUUCGGAUCGUAAAACACUGUUAUUAGGGAAGAACAUAUGUGUAAGUAACUGUGCACAUCUUGACGGUACCUAAUCAGAAAGCCACGGCUAACUACGUG